Molecule: ribosomal RNA, 253 nt
Filed under: uncultured bacterium
Lineage: Bacteria
Description: partial 16S ribosomal RNA
Rfam family: Bacterial small subunit ribosomal RNA
Source: RNAcentral
UACGGAGGGUGCGAGCGUUGUCCGGAAUCACUGGGCGUAAAGGGCGCGUAGGCGGCCUGAUAAGUAGGGGGUGAAAUCCUGCGGCUUAACCGCAGGGCUGCCUUCUAAACUGUCAGGCUCGAGCACAGUAGAGGCAGGUGGAAUUCCCGGUGUAGCGGUGGAAUGCGUAGAGAUCGGGAAGAACAUCAGUGGCGAAGGCGGCCUGCUGGGCUGUUGCUGACGCUGAGGCGCGACAGCGUGGGGAGCAAAAGGG